GGCCCAGUGGCUCAGUUGGUUAGAGCGCCGCCCUGUCACGGCGGAGGUCAGGGGUUCGAGCCCCCUUUGGGUCG
Molecule: transfer RNA, 74 nt
Filed under: Lachnospiraceae bacterium
Lineage: Bacteria; Bacillati; Bacillota; Clostridia; Lachnospirales; Lachnospiraceae
Description: tRNA-Asp
Rfam family: tRNA
About the family: Transfer RNA (tRNA) molecules are approximately 80 nucleotides in length. Their secondary structure includes four short double-helical elements and three loops (D, anti-codon, and T loops).
Source: RNAcentral